Molecule: ribosomal RNA, 577 nt
Filed under: uncultured bacterium
Lineage: Bacteria
Description: partial 16S ribosomal RNA
Rfam family: Bacterial small subunit ribosomal RNA
Source: RNAcentral
UGGGGAAUUUUGGACAAUGGGGGCAACCCUGAUCCAGCAAUGCCGCGUGUGUGAAGAAGGCCUUCGGGUUGUAAAGCACUUUUGUCCGGAAAGAAAUCGCCCUGGCUAAUAUCCGGGGUGGAUGACGGCACUGGAAGAAUAAGCGCCGGCUAACUACGUGCCAGCAGCCGCGGUAAUACGUAGGGUGCGAGCGUUAAUCGGAAUUACUGGGCGUAAAGCGUGCGCAGGCGGUUGUGCAAGACAGAUGUGAAAUCCCCGGGCUUAACCUGGGAAUGGCAUUUGUGACUGCACGGCUAGAGUGUGUCAGAGGGGGGUAGAAUUCCACAUGUAGCAGUGAAAUGCGUAGAUAUGUGGAGGAACACCGAUGGCGAAGGCAGCCCCCUGGGAUAACACUGACGCUCAUGCACGAAAAGCGUGGGGAGCAAACAGGAUUAGAUACCCUGGUAGUCCACGCCCUAAAACGAUGUCAACUAGUUGUCGGGUCUUAAUUGACUUGGUAAACGCAGCUAAACGCGUGAAGUUGACCGCCUGGGGAGUACGUCGCAAGAUUAAAAACUUAAAGAAUUGACGGGGGUCA